GUCGAGCGGAACAGAACGAGGCAGCUUGCUCCUCUGACGUUAGCGGCGGACGGGUGAGAUAACACGUGGCAUAACCUACCUAUAAGACUGGGAUAACUUCGGGAAACCGGAGCUAAUACCGGAUAAUAUAUUGAACCGCAUGGUUCAAUANUGAAAGACGGUUUUGCUGUCACUUAUAGAUGGAUCCGCGCCGCAUUAGCUAGUUGGUAAGGUAACGGCUUACCAAGGCAACNAUGCNUAGCCGACCUGAGAGGGUGAUCGGCCACACUGGAACUGAGACACGGUCCAGACUCCUACGGGAGGCAGCAGUAGGGAAUCUUCCGCAAUGGGCGAAAGCCUGACGGAGCAACGCCGCGUGAGUGAUGAAGGUCUUCGGAUCGUAAAACUCUGUUAUUAGGGAAGAACAAAUGUGUAAGUAACUAUGCACGUCUUGACGGUACCUAAUCAGAAAGCCACGGCUAACUACGUGCCAGCAGCCGCGGUAAUACGUAGGUGGCAAGCGUUAUCCGGAAUUAUUGGGCGUAAAGCGCGCGUAGGCGGUUUUUUAAGUCUGAUGUGAAAGCCCACGGCUCAACCGUGGAGGGUCAUUGGAAACUGNAA
RNAcentral lists this ribosomal RNA (600 nucleotides) under bacterium Co.S3. RNAcentral's name for it is "bacterial SSU rRNA". It matches the Rfam family "Bacterial small subunit ribosomal RNA", at positions 61 to 638 of the family's 1533-position model. The record is from RNAcentral.